RNAcentral lists this ribosomal RNA (383 nucleotides) under uncultured Glomus. RNAcentral describes it as "SSU rRNA". It matches the Rfam family "Eukaryotic small subunit ribosomal RNA", at positions 569 to 958 of the family's 1831-position model. Lineage: Eukaryota; Fungi; Glomeromycota; Glomeromycetes; Glomerales; Glomeraceae. The record is from RNAcentral.
AGCAGCCGCGGUAAUUCCAGCUCCAAUAGCGUAUAUUAAAGUUGCUGCAGUUAAAAAGCUCGUAGUUGAAUUUCGGGACCACUAUGUCGGUCGUGCCUCGGUACGUACUGGCAUUGUUGGUUUCUACCUUCUGACGAACCAUGAUGUCAUUUAUUGGUGUCGUGGGGAAUCAGGACUGUUACUUUGAAAAAAUUAGAGUGUUUAAAGCAGGCUCACGCUUGAAUACAUUAGCAUGGAAUAAUGAAAUAGGACGUUUGAUUCUAUUUUGUUGGUUUCUAGGAUCGACGUAAUGAUUAAUAGGGAUAGUUGGGGGCAUUAGUAUUCAAUUGUCAGAGGUGAAAUUCUUGGAUUUAUUGAAGACUAACUACUGCGAAAGCAUUUGC